This 807-nucleotide ribosomal RNA is filed under the name uncultured bacterium. Its description in RNAcentral is "bacterial SSU rRNA". It matches the Rfam family "Bacterial small subunit ribosomal RNA", at positions 62 to 873 of the family's 1533-position model. The record is from RNAcentral.
UCGAGGGGUAUAAGUAGCAAUACUUAGAGACCGGCGCACGGGUGAGUAACGCGUAUGCAACCUGCCCUUUACUGGAGGAUAGCCCGUAGAAAUGCGGAUUAAUACCCCAUAGUAAUAUAGGAUCGCAUGAUUUUAUAUUUAAAGUUUCGGCGGUAAAGGAUGGGCAUGCGUGACAUUAGCUAGUUGGAGAGGUAACGGCUCACCAAGGCUUCGAUGUCUAGGGGUUCUGAGAGGAAGAUCCCCCACACUGGUACUGAGACACGGACCAGACUCCUACGGGAGGCAGCAGUGAGGAAUAUUGGUCAAUGGGCGAGAGCCUGAACCAGCCAUCCCGCGUGCAGGAAGAAUGCCCUAUGGGUUGUAAACUGCUUUUUCGCAUGAAGAACACCCCUGACGUGUCAGGGGCUGACGGUAAUGCGUGAAUAAGCACCGGCUAACUCCGUGCCAGCAGCCGCGGUAAUACGGAGGGUGCAAGCGUUAUCCGGAUUUAUUGGGUUUAAAGGGUGCGUAGGCGGCUAUUUAAGUCAGUGGUGAAAUCCUGCAGCUUAACUGUAGAACAGCCAUUGAAACUGAAUAGCUUGAGUGAUCUUGAGGUAGGCGGAAUGUGUAGUGUAGCGGUGAAAUGCUUAGAUAUUACACAGAACACCGAUUGCGAAGGCAGCUUACUAAGGAUUUACUGACGCUGAUGCACGAAAGCGUGGGGAUCAAACAGGAUUAGAUACCCUGGUAGUCCACGCCGUAAACGAUGAUAACUCGCUGUUGGCGAUACACAGUCAGCGGCUUAGCGAAAGCGUUAAGUUAUCCACC